GAUGAAGAACGUAGUGAAAUGCGAUACGUAAUGUGAAUUGCAGAAUUCAGUGAAUCAUCGAGUCUUUGAACGCACAUUGCGCCCCCUGGUAUUCCGGGGGGCAUGCCUGUCCGAGCGUCAUUGCUGCCCUCAAGCACGGCUUGUGUGUUGGGCCUCCGUCCUCCUCCCGGGGGACGGGCCCGAAAGGCAGCGGCGGCACCGCGUCCGGUCCUCGAGCGUAUGGGGCUUCGUCACCCGCUCUUGUAGGCCCGGCCGGCGCUUGCCGACACAUCAAUCUUUUUUCCAGGUUGACCUCGGAUCAGGUAGGGGUACCCGCUGAACUUAAGCAUAUCAAUAAGCGGAGGA
Molecule: unclassified non-coding RNA, 345 nt
Filed under: soil metagenome
Description: partial contains 5.8S ribosomal RNA, internal transcribed spacer 2, and large subunit ribosomal RNA
Rfam family: 5.8S ribosomal RNA (bases 1-120)
Source: RNAcentral